UUUAAUUAUCGUAUAUAAAAGUGAAAAUAUAAAAUAUAAAUUAAUUUUAGUUGGGGCAACUGGGAGGGAUAAAAAUCUUUUAUUAAAUCAUUUAUAGUAAUAUUUAUAUUUAUGAUCCAAAUUAGUUAAUUUUGAACUUAGAAU
Molecule: ribosomal RNA, 144 nt
Filed under: Ledella ultima
Lineage: Eukaryota; Metazoa; Mollusca; Bivalvia; Nuculanida sp.; Nuculanidae
Description: partial small subunit ribosomal RNA
Source: RNAcentral